RNAcentral lists this ribosomal RNA (386 nucleotides) under uncultured bacterium. Its description in RNAcentral is "bacterial SSU rRNA". It matches the Rfam family "Bacterial small subunit ribosomal RNA", at positions 30 to 419 of the family's 1533-position model. The record is from RNAcentral.
AUUGAACGCUGGCGGCAUGCCUUACACAUGCAAGUCGAACGGCAGCGGACCUUCGGGUGCCGGCGAGUGGCGAACGGGUGAGUAAUAUAUCGGAACGUACCUUUCAGUGGGGGAUAACGUAGCGAAAGUUACGCUAAUACCGCAUAUUCUGUGAGCAGGAAAGCAGGGGAUCGCAAGACCUUGCGCUGAUUGAGCGGCCGAUAUCAGAUUAGCUAGUUGGUGGGUAAAGGCUCACCAAGGCGACGAUCUGUAGCGGGUCUGAGAGGAUGAUCCGCCACACUGGAACUGAGACACGGUCCAGACUCCUACGGGAGGCAGCAGUGGGGAAUUUUGGACAAUGGGCGCAAGCCUGAUCCAGCCAUGCCGCGUGAGUGAAGAAGGCCUGG